RNAcentral lists this long non-coding RNA (3856 nucleotides) under Suricata suricatta (meerkat). RNAcentral's name for it is "lncRNA (ENSSSUG00005022504.1)". Lineage: Eukaryota; Metazoa; Chordata; Mammalia; Carnivora; Herpestidae. The record is from RNAcentral.
GCGGGCAUGCCGGGCGGCGGCGGCGGCGGGCCCGCGGCGGCGCUGCGCGAGCAGGAGCGGGUGUACGAGUGGUUUGGGCUGGUGCUGGGCUCGGCGCAGCGCCUGGAGUUCAUGUGCGGGCUGCUGGACCUGUGCAACCCGCUGGAGCUGCGCUUCCUCGGCUCGUGCCUGGAGGACCUGGCGCGCAAGGACUACCACUACCUGCGCGACUCCGAGGCUAAGGCCAACGGCCUCUCGGACCCCGGGCCGCUGGCGGACUUCCGAGAGCCCUCCGUGCGCUCGCGCCUCAUCGUCUACCUGGCGCUGCUGGGCUCGGAGAACCGUGAGGCCGCCGGCCGCCUGCACCGCCUCCUGCCCCAGGUGGACUCGGUGCUCAAGAGUCUGCGCGCGGCUCGGGGCGAGGGUUCGCGGGGCGGCGCGGAGGACGAGCCCGGCGAGCGCGGGGAGGACGGCGAAGGCGAGGAGGACGCAGAGAAGGACGGUUCUGGCCCGGAAGGCAGCGGCGCCGAGUCCCGGCCCGGCGGCGGGCUGGGCUUCAGGGCCCAGGAGGAACUGCUGCUGCUCUUCACCAUGGCUUCGCUGCACCCGGCGUUCUCCUUCCACCAGCGGGUCACCCUGAGGGAGCACCUGGAGAGGCUCCGCGCCGCGCUCCGCGGGGGGCCCGAGGACGCGGAGGCGGAGCCGUGCAACUUUGCCGGCCCCCGGGCCCAGGGUGACGCCGCCCCCGGUGACUUCCCGCAGAGCGAGGAGACCAGCGUGCUAGAGCAAGCCCUGACACCUCGCGACGGCCUUCCUGGGGCGCCGCACAGAGCCCAGCGAGAAGCUGUGCACAUUGAGAAGAUCAUGUUGAAAGGAGUCCAGAGAAAAAGGGCUGACAAAUAUUGGGAGUACACCUUCAAACUCCCAAAGGAAGUGUCUUCGGAGACUUUUGAUAAGACCAUCCUAAGAGCCCUGAAUCAGGGUUCACUGAAGAGGGAAGAACGGCGACAUCCUGACCUAGAGCCCAUCCUAAGGCAGCUAUUUUCAACUUCAUCCCAAGCUUUUCUACAGAGUCAGAAAGUGCACAGCUUCUUUCAGUCCAUAUCACCAGACCCUCUGCACAGCCUCAAUAACUUCCAGUCCUCUCUGAAGACUUCAAAAAUAUUAGAACACUUAAAGGAAGACAGCUCAGAAGCUUCAAGUCAAGAAGAAGAUGUGUUACAACACACCGUAAUCCACAAGAAACACACCGGGAAGAGUCCCCUUGUGAACACCAUCGGUACAAGUUGUUCUCCGUUGGAUGGGCUCACUGUGCAGUAUUCUGAGCAGAAUGGAGUUGUGGAUUGGAGGAAGCAGAGCUGCCCCCCUCUUCAGCACCCGGAGCACUGUGUGGCCUUAGCUGACCAGCAUUCAACCGAAAAACGAAGCUUAUCUUCAAUAAAUAAGAAGAAAGGAAAGCCACAAAUAGAAAAGGAGAAAAUUAAGAAAACUGACAACAGAUUGAAUAGUAGAAUAAAUGGGAUCAGAUUGUCUGCUUCUCAGCAUGCCCACGGUGGUUCCGUGAAAGAUGUGAACUUGGAUGUUGGAUCUGGACGUGACACGUGUGGAGAGACCUCUUCAGAGAGCUACAGCUCUCCCUCGAGUCCACGGCAUGAUGGGAGAGAGAGCUUUGAAAGCGAAGAAGAGAAAGACCGAGACACAGACAGCAAUUCUGAGGAUUCUGGGAAUCCGUCAACAACCAGGUUUACGGGCUACGGUUCUGUCAACCAGACCGUCACUGUCAAGCCACCUGUUCAGAUUGCUUCAUUAGGAAGCGACAACGGAGGCCUUUUAGAAGAUGCCCUAAAUGCACCCAAGUAUCAGCAUAUUUCUUUUAUGCCAACUUUACACUGUGUCAUGCACAACGGUGCCCAGAAGUCUGACGUCGGUGUCCCUCCACCCAAGUCCGCUGACGGCAAGACCAUAGGGAUGCUUGUUCCCAGUCCUGUUGCUAUUUCUGCAAUAAGGGAGUCUGCAAACUCUACCCCUGUUGGAGUACUGGGGCCAGCAGCUUCUGCCGGAGAACCCGAGAAACACCUGGAGUUACUGGCUUCCCCUUUGCCUCUUCCGUCAGCGUUCCUCGCACACGGCAGCGCCCCUGCUCUGCACCUGACAAUUCAGAGGCUAAAGUUGCCGCCACCGCAGGGGUCCUCGGAGAGCUGCCCGGUCAACAUCCCACAGCAGCCGCCCGCAAGUCUGAGCAUCGGAUCACCAAACACUGCCUUUCUCCCUGUCCACAGCCCGGGGAGCUUUCCGGGGUCUCCCAUUGCUACCACGGACCCCAUCGCCAAGUCUGCGUCCCCGGUGGUAGGACUCAAUCAAAUGGUGCCUCAACUCGAGGGAAGCACCGGGACAGUCCCUCAGCCCAGCAAUGUGAAGGUUGUUGUCCCCGCAGCCGGCCUCUCGGCUGCACAGCCACCAGCAUCCUACACCCUGCCGGGGCCCCCCCUUGGCACCGGCGCGCUGCCCAGCCAGAGCUCCGGCGCGCUCAGCCCAGCNNNNNNNNNNNNNNNNNNNNNNNNNNNNNNNNNNNNNNNNNNNNNNNNNNNNNNNNNNNNNNNNNNNNNNNNNNNNNNNNNNNNNNNNNNNNNNNNNNNNCCGGCCGGCGCCCCCGCGGUCCCCACCCACACCCCGGGCCCCGCGCCCAGCCCGAGCCCCGCGCUCACCCACAGCACCGCGCAGAGCGACAGCACGUCCUACAUCAGCGCCGUGGGGAACACGAACGCUAACGGGACAGUCCUGCCGCCGCAGCAGAUGGGCUCGGGGCCCUGCGGCUCUUGCGGGCGACGGUGCGGCUGUGGGACCAACGGCAGCCUUCAGCUGAACAGCUACUACUAUCCUAACCCGAUGCCCGGGCCCAUGUACCGGGUCCCGUCCUUCUUCACUCUGCCGUCCCUCUGCAACGGCAGCUACCUCAACCAAGCACAUCAGAGCAAUGGAAACCAACUUCCUUUCUUUCUGCCUCAGACUCCGUAUGCAAACGGACUGGUGCACGACCCCGUCCUGGGGAGCCAAGCCAGCUACGGCAUGCAGCAGAUGGCGGGCUUCGGGAGGUUCUACCCCGUGUACCCAGCGCCCGGCGUGGUUGCCAGUGCGAGCGGUUCGGGGCCCAAGAAGAACGGGAACGUCUCCUGUUACAACUGCGGUGUGAGUGGACACUACGCACAGGAGUGCAAGCAGUCGUCCAUGGAGGCCAGCCCACAAGGCACUUACAGACUGAGAUACGCACCUCCCCUCCCCCCUUCUAAUGAUACGUUGGAUUCUGCAGACUGAACCACGUAAAGCUUGACUGCUUAAUACCCUGACGUGUUGGGGAGUCAUGGUGGGGUGUGGAGGGGAGGAAAGGAAAGGUAUUUUGUGUGUGUUUCUUUGUCUGUACAUUUCCUAGAUUUCUAUGCACUUGGGAUUUUUCAUUUCUGUUGUACUGAUGUCCAAAUCAAAAAAAAUGCAUUGCUUUUGAGCCUCUGGUCUCCUGGUUCAACAACAGGCCUAUCUGUAUGAAACAUGUAAUUUAAACCUCCACACUAUCAAAAGGAACAUGUUUGCUGUGCUUUUUUUUUACACUGAAUACUUGCUGUGUGCAAUGUUUACUGAAUCUUUAAAACUGUGUAUUUGACCUUUUUUUUUUUUUUACAACACUGGUGACAGUCAUAUGGUUUUCAAAAAGAGAAACUGCUCCUUCCCAGCUUUUCUCACUUUCACCCCAAAGGACACACGUCUCCCCGUCACCCCCUCUCCUGUGGCCUGUAAAUCCAGGGUGAAGUGCUUCACCUUCAACUGAGGAGAAAUCAAGUUCCCCAAGUUGUGUGUAUAUAAUAAACAGCAUCCCGUGAAUACA